AAGGGAAGGUGACUUGUCCACACUGACACAGUGAGUAAGUGGCACAGCCACUGAAGGGAACCCAGAACUCUGACUCACAAGCUACUCUUUCCUGACACCACCCUGCUGAAAGGUGUAGGAGGAACAGGAUGGGUCAUGGACAGCACAUGAGGGCCAAAUGACAGCUGCUUGGCCUGUGACCCAGGGUGGUCUUCCUGCAUCUGUGCCCCAGGACGGCUAUGUGCUUACCUAAAAGGUGAUUUCCCUUGGAUGACACCCUGGGCCCUGUGCUUUGGUAUCAUUAAAGAAACAGAGGAAGCCCCUAAUUACAAGGUGGAACUCUGCCUUCAAAGACAGACAUGAGGCAACUUCUUUAGGAAAAACCAGUGCUGGGCCUGGGUGGUCUUGGUAUUAGUUCCCUAGUGAUGUGAUUAAAUGAAGCCAUGCAUUUCAGAGUAGCUUUUUUACCCUUUCUUUCUUUUUUUUUUUUUUUUAACAAAAAUGUAGGAGUCAUUCAACCUUCUUGCAAAUUACAGUGAUUUUAAGUAAAUAAAAAGUUAGUACUCCUCCCCACCCUCUCACCUAUCAGACACAAAGUACCUGUAUCUGAUGACAGGAAAUAUCCCCUGCCCUCCUCCACUUAAAAAAAAUCACUGUAACCAUUCAAUUACAUGUUGUAGGGUCAAAUUUUUAUUUACAUGAAAUUCUGAUUCUCAACCAUCUGAUUUUUGUUAACUAGUACAUCUAAAUCAAAUGGUGCCUGCAGACCCCAUAAUUAGUGUGAUAUCUUAAAUUGCUCUUGAAUUGAAGCGGCUGCAGUGCUGUCUCUAUCUGUUCUAUCUGGUGGCUGAGAUCCUAUCUGCCCACAUAGCCCUCUCUCCCUAGGCCCUGGGUGGCGGGGAUGGCGGCUGAGCUGGGAGGCUUUUCAGCCUCGGGUGGAAAUCUGGCUCCUUUCACUCUCAGAGUUCGGGUGGGGUGGGAGGGUCCUCAGUCCCCAUCUCAGUGACAUGAGUGGGUGCUGAGCUGCAGUGAAGCGAGGGAACUCCUGUCCCCACACUGGGACUUCCACAUUGUCCUAGGAUAUAGGAGAGCCCUGCCCCUGCUUGCUAGCCAGGUGUGGUAAGGAUGGAGAAGGGAGAGCUUUGAUGUCUCAGACAGUACUGGGCUGGCCUCCAGUCCUCACACCUCUGAAUGUAGUCUCCUGGGGUCCCCAAGGUGGCUGGAUGUGAUCCUGAUACUCAUCUCCAUGCUAAUAACACCAGGGGUCACCUCUAUCUAGGCAAGGGCUGAAUCCUAGCAUCAACACAACUUUUCCCAAACAGCCUAGACUAGGCCAUUAAAAACAACAGCAAUAACAACAAAAGCCAGGAGGUAGACUGCCUGGGCACAGUCAUAGAACUGGCCAUGUCAAUGAGGGCACCCAUACCAUCAAACCAAAAGACUAACGACACAGCGAGAGUACCUUGCCCUUCUCAAAGACUAGCACCACAUCCAUAUAUACUCUCAUAGUGGUUCAACUCCACAAAGACAAAAGACUUCUUAUGAAAUUCCACUUUUUCAGUGGGAGUUUCCCUUUUUAAAAAAUUAUAUAUAUUUAAGGUGUACAACACUAUGGUUAGGUUUUGUUUUGUUUUUUAAUUAAAUUCUUUUAUUGGUACUUUUUUGGUAUACAACAUAAUUACAUUUCUCGUUGGGAAUUGUACCUUUACAUAAUGCAUCUUGGUUCUUAUUUUUUCCCCAUUCCUAGCCCUUGCUUCACCCCCUCCACCCUUCCCUAUUUACAAAGACUUUAUUUCCAUUUUUUCCAUUUCUCAGCAUUUUUCCUUUCCCUUCUUUCCUUUCCCCUGCCCCUCCCACUACCCCUACCCCUUUGGACCUUUUCUUCCUAUUUUACAUUUUCGAUUAUUCAUUCUAAUCAUUGGUACAUUUUAGAUAUACAAUAUAAUGACAUUCCUUAUUGGAAAUUUGCACCUUUACAUAAUCUCUCUUGGUUCUUAUUUUUCACCCUUGCCCAGCCCUCCCUUCAACCCCUCCAUUCCUCCCUAUUUACAAAGAUUUUGUUCCUAUUUUUCCAUUUUCUCAUAUUAAUCCCAUUCCCUUCUAUCCUUUCCCCUAGCCCUCCCACUUCCUUCCCCUUUGCCCCUUUUCUUCCUAUUUCACAUUACCUAUUAUACAUUUAGUCCUUAUUUACACUUUCAGUUUCUCACACCAGAGAAACUAUUUGGUAUUUAUACAUGUGUGUCCUAUUCAUUUCACUUAAGAGUAUCGCCUCAAUGUGCAUCCACUUAGCUAUAAAUGUCUCUAAUUUCUCAUUUUUUAUGGCUGAGUAGUAUUCCAUUUUAUUAAAAAACCACGUUUUCUUUAUCCAGUCUCCAGUUGAUAGGCAUUUGGGCUGUAUCCAACUUUCAGCUAUCACAAAUUGUGCUGCUAUGAACAUGGGUGCACAUAUAUCACUGUGGUGUGAUUCUUUUAAUUCUUUGGGGAAGAUCCCGAGCAGUGGAAUAGCGGGGUCAAAUGAGACUUUCAGUCCUAGUUCUUUGAGGUAUCUCCAUACUGAUAUCCACAGUGGUUGCACCAGUCUACACUCUCACCAGCAGUGGAGCAGGGUUCCUCUUUCCCCACAGCCCCGCCAGUAGUUGUUAUUGGUUGAUUUCAUGAUAGUAGCAAUUCUUUCUGGAGUGAAGUGGAAGGAAUCUCAGCGUUGUUUUCAUUUGCAUCUCCCGAAUGACCAGUAAUGUUGAACAUUUUUUCAUGUAUUUAUUUGCUAUUUCUACUUCUUUGUCUGAGAAAUGUCUGUUCAUUUCAGACACCCAUUUUCUGACUGGGUCUUUAAAUUUGGGAGGUCUGAUCUUUUUAAGUUCUUUAUAGAUUCAAGAUAGUAGACCUUUGUCUGAGGAAGAGCAGAUGAAGAUUUUUUCCCACAUUGUGGGUUGUCUCUUCACACUGCUGGUGGUUUCUCUUGCUGUGCAGAAGCCUUUUAAUAAGAAGAGAUCCCACUUGUUGAUAGUUUGUGCUAGUUCACGGGCAACGGAGGUUUUGUUCAUAAAAUCUUUUCCUACACCGAUGUCUUCAAGGGUUCUACCUAACCUCUGUUCCAACUGGUUCAGAGUUUCUAUUUUAAUAUUUAGAUCUAUAGGGGCCGGGGAUUUAGCUCAGUGGUUCCAGCACCUGCCUCGCAAGCACAAGUUCCCAAGUUCAAUCCCUGGUACCCAAAAAAUAAUAAUAAAAAAAUAUAUACAUAUAUAUAUUUAGAUCUUUAAUCCAUUUUGAUUGUAGUUUAGUGUAUGGUGGGAGAUAUAGGUCUAGUUUUAAUCUCUGGCAAGUUGAAGCCCAAUUUUUCCAGCACCAUUUAUUAAAGAGGCUAUCUUUCCUCCAGUGAGGGUGUUUGGCUCCUUUAUCGAAGAUGAGAUGGCUGAGUGUGUCUGGCAUUGUUUCUGCAUCUUCUAAUCUGUUCCACUGGUCCUCAGGUCUGUUUCUUUGCCAGUACCAUGCUGUUUUUAUCACAGUGGCUAUAUAGUAGAGUUGCAGGUUGGGGGUUGUGAUACUCCCUGCCAUGUCUCUGUUACCUAGAAUUGCUUUUGCUAUUCUGAGUCUCUUCUUGUUCCAAAUGAAUUUUUGGAUUGCUUUCUCAAGGUCCAUGAAGUAUGCUGCUGGGAUCUCAAUUGGAAUUGCAUUCAAUCUAUAUAGCAGUUUUGGAAGUAUGGCCAUUUUCACUAUAUUAAUCCUUCAUACCCAAGAACAGGGGAUGUCUGUCCAUUUUCUGAUAUCAUCUUCAAUCUCUCUUUUCAGAGUGCCAUAGUUUUCAGAGAAGAGGUCUUUGAUUUCUUUCGUUAGGUUGAUUCCUAGGUAUUUCAGUUUUUUGGAUGCUACUGUGAAAGGAAUUAUUUGCCCUAUUUUUCUCUCAGUGAGUUUGUCAUUCGUGUAGAGGAAAGCUAUUGAUUUUUGUGUGUUGACCUUGUAACGAGCUACUUGACUGAAUUUGGUUAUUAAGUCUAGAAGACUUUUGGUGGAGUUCUUGGGGUCUUCUAUAUAGAGUAUCAUGUCAUCUGCAAAUAAUGACAAUUUGACUUCUUCAUUUCCUAUCUUUAUUCCUUUUAUUUCUUUCUCUUGUCUAAUUGCUGUGGCUAAUGUUUCCAGAACUACAUUGAACAAGAGUGGUGAGAGUGGACGACCUUGUCUUAUUCCUGAUUUUAGUGUGAAGGAUUUCAGUUUUUGACCAUUUAGUAUGAUAUUGGCUGUUGGUUUUUCAUAGAUGGCUUCUAUCAGUUUGAGGUAGAGACCAUCUAUUCCCAUUUUUUGUAGGGUUUUUAUCAUAAAUGCAUUUUGGAUUUUGUCAAAUGCUUUUUCUGCAUCUAUGGAGAUAAUCAUAUGGUUUUUGUCCUUGGCUCUGUUGACAUAGUGUAUUACGUUGAUUGAUUUGCGUAUGUUGAACCAUCCCUGCAUCCCCGGGAUGAAUCCCACUUGAUCAGUGUGUAUGAUCUUCUUGAUGAUCUUCUGCAUUCUGUUUGCCAGUAUCUUAUUAAGGAUUUUUGCAUCUAUGUUCAUUAGUGAGAUUGGCCUAUAGUUCUCCUUUUCGGUUGGGUCUUUCUCUGCUUUGGGGAUCAAGGUGAUGCUUGCUUCCAGGAAUGAAUUUGGGAGUAUUGCUUCCCUUUCAAUUUCAUUGAAGAGUUUAAACAGUAGUGGCAGCAGUUCCUCUCUAAAUGUCUUGUAGAAUUCAGCAGUGAAGCCAUCAGGGCCCGGGCUUUUCUUAGUUGAUAAGUUUUUAAUUACAUUUUCAAUUUCAUUGGUUGAUAUUGGGUUGUUCAGAAUUUUUAGGUCUUCUUCGUUCAACUUUGGUAAUUCAUAUGUAUCUAGGAAUCUGUCCAUUUCUUCUGUGUUGUCCAUCUUAUUGGCGUAUAGGUUCUGGAAGUAGGUAUUGAUGAUCCUCUGGAUUUCUGCUGGGUCUGUUGUGACUUCACCCUUUUCAUUCCUAAUUGCAUGGAUUUGGGCCUUUUCUUUCCUUUUUCUGACAAGCUUGGCUAAGGGUUUGUCAAUUUUGUUGAUUCUUUCGAAGAACCAACUCUUGGCUUCAUUGAUUUUUUUGUAUCUUUCUCUUAGUCUCCAUUGCAUUGAUUUCUCCUCUGAUCUUUAUAAUUUCCUCCCUUGUAUGAGCUCUGGGGUUGUCUUGUUCUUCUUUUUCUAGAAGCUUGAGGGUCAGCAUCAGGUUGUUUAAUUGGGCUCGUUCUGUUUUCCUAAUAUGCGUAUUCACUGCUAUGAAUUUCCCUCAUAAGACUGCUUUCAUUGUGUCCCAUAGAUUCUGAUAUGUUGUAUUGUCAUUGUCAUUUAAUUGAAGGAACUGUCUGAUUUCUUCUUUAAUUUCCUCUGUGACCCAUUGGUUAUUCAGAAGUGUGUUGUUCAAUUUCCAUGUGUUUAUGAAAUUUUUCCAGUUUCUUUUGUUAUGGAUCUCCAAUUUCAUCGCACUAUGGUCUGAUAAUAUACAGGGGAUAACUUCAAUUCCUUUGCACUUACUUAAACAUGUUCUAUGUGUGAGUAUGUGGUCUAUUUUUGAGAAUGACCCAUGUGCAGCUGAGAAGAAUGUGUAUUCUGAUUUUGUGGGGUGGAAGACUCUGUAAACAUCUGUUAAGUUCAUUUGUUCAAGAGUUCGAUUGAGUUCUAGUAUUUCAUUACUUAUUUUUUGUCUAGUUGAUCUAUUUGUGACAGUGGGGUGUUGAGGUCCCCCACUACAAUUGUAUUAGUGCAUAUAUGACUUUUCAUGUCUGUUAAUAUUUGUUUUAUAUAGUUGGGCCCACUAGUGUUUGGUGCAUAGAUAUUUAUGAUUGUCAUCUCUUCCUCUUGGAUUAUUCCCUUUACAAGGAUGUAGUGUCCUUCUUUGUCUCUCUUAAUCAGUGUUGGUUUGAAGUCUACUUGAUCUGCAAAGAGGAUAGCUACUCCUGUUUUUUUUCUGGUUCCUGUCACAUGGAGUAUUGUUUUCCACCCUUUAACUUUCAGUCUAUGAGUUUCCUUUUGAAUAAAGUGUGUUUCUUGUGUGUAGCAUAUUGUUGGAUUUUGCUUCUUGACCCAUUCUGCCAGUCUAUUUCUUUUGAUUGGUGAAUUGAGACCAUUAACAUUGAUGGUUAUAACUGAAACGUAUUGACUUGUCAUUGCCAUGACUUUUUCUUUUUGUUGGACUCUCCCCCUUUGCAUUUAAUUUCUUGUUUUGCCCAACGGAUUCAUUCUGCUGGGCUUCCUGGAGUUGUGAUCCUUGUCUUUUCCUAGGAUAUUGUCUAGAAUUUUUUGGAGUGCUGGUUUGAUAUUCAUGAAGUUCCUAAAGUGCUCUUUGUCAUGAAAGUAUCUUAUUUCUCCAUCAAUUUUGAAAGAUAGUUUUGCAGGGUACAUCAAUCUGCGUUGGAGGCUGUUUUCUUUUAGGGCUUGGAAUAUUCACUCCAAGCUCUUCUUGCCUUGAUGGUUUGCAUUGAGAAGUCUGCUGUGAUUCUGAUAGGCUUCCCUUUGUAUGUGAUUUGUUUCUUUUCUCUAACUGCUUGUAGAACUUUGUUCUUCUGUUGUGUUUCUGGAAUCUUAACAAUUAUAUGCCUAUGUGUAGAUUUUUUUUUUUGAACAAGGCUAUUUGGAGUCCUAUAUGCCUCACUUAUCUGUAUGUCAAGUUCUUUUCCCCUGCUUGGGAAGUUUUCUGCCAUUAUUUCUGUGAAGAGAUCUUUUAUGUCAUCUGCACUCUCUCCUGUUUCUUCAUUGAGCCCAAUCAGUCUUAUGUUAUUCUUCUUUGCAUCAUCUAGCAGCUGCUGGAUUGAUUUCUCAUGUUCCCUUAUAAUUUUGAAGCAAUUUUUCUUUUCCUGGUCACUAAUUGCAAUCUUAUCUUCUAUAUCUGAAAUUCUGUCUUCACAUUGGCUCAUUUUACUGUGUAGACUUUCAACGGAGUUUUUCAUGUCCUGGAAAUCUAUUUGCAUCUGUUUUAUAGAUUCCAUUUGUUUCCUAUGUUGGAAUUCCAUCAUGUUCCCAAGCUCCUCUCUAGAUUUAUUAAUCAUGUCUUGCACUAGGGGCACAAUUUCUCCUGUUAUCUGAGAAAUUAUUUCUGAUUUCAUUUUUUCCAGAUCCCCUUUUGUUGCCAGUUCAGUGGGUCCAGGUGGUUGAGUAACAGAGUGUUCCAUCUCAUUUCCCUUUGGGGUUGCUGUAGGUGAUCUGGGAGUCUGGUUUUGAGACUUAUUUACGUGUUUUCUCAUUUCGACUGCAGGGGGGCUGUUGGUGCCUGCACGGAUUAUGUCCUCUGAGCUGAGAGAGGUGGGUCAGGGGCCUGGAGCAGCGGUAGGGAUGGUGGCCCAAAAGCCCUUUCCUGUGGGCUGGGAGCAGCAGGAGGGAUAGUGGCCGGGAAGCCCCUUUCUCUGGUCCAGGAGCAGUGGGAUGGUGGCUCAGAAGCCCCUACCUCUGGGCCGGGAGCAGUGGGAGGGAUGGUGGCCUGGAAGGCCCUUCCUCUGGGCCAGGAGUGGCGGGACAGAAGGUGGCCCAAAAGCCCUUUCCUCUGGGCUGGGUGCAGCGGGAGGGAUGGUGGCCUGGAAGCCCCUUCCUCUGGGCCAGGAGCAGUGGGAUAGUGGCUCAGAAGCCCCUACCUCUGGGCCGGGAGCAGCGGGACUCAGUACCGUGGUCUGGUGGUCCGGUAUCCUCUGCGUCUUUGUAGUGUGGAACCAGAUGGCUGUACAGAGGAGCGGGGGGUGCGGGGUCCAGUGGAUUGUUGCCGGGGCACGGGUUGAUUCGGAGUCUUCCCAACACUAUGUUUUGAUAUACAUAGGUCAAGCGAAAUGACCACCACAGUCAAGGAAAUCACACUCAUCGUUUCACCCAGUCAUGUUGUAUGUAGGGGAACUCUCAACAAACUUCCAGUACACAAGGCUGGAAUAAUCAUCCUCCUGCUGCAUAUUAGCUCUUUAGACUUAUUCUUCCUACUUAACAGCAAUUUGUACCCUCCAACCUAUACCUCCCUAUCUUCCCUUCAUCCCAAUCCUGCCAACCACAAUUUUACUCUCUUGCCUAUGUAUUCAACUUUUUUAGAUUCUACACAUAAGAGAAAUCUCAAAGUCUUUUUUCAGUGCCUGGCUUAUUUCACUUAGUAUAAUGUCCUCUAGACUUACCCAUGUUGUCAUAAAUAAUAAGAUCUCUUUUUUACGGUUGAAUAAUAUUCCAUAAUGUAUAUAUGCAAUAUGAUUAAAAAUACAAUGAGGGCCAGGGAUUUAGCUCAGUGGUUCUGCCGCCUGCCUGGCAAGCACAAGGUCCUGAGUUUGGUCCCCAGUACAAAAAAAAAGCAAUGAAUGUUUACUUUUUUUGUGGUUUUUUUUUGUUUUGUUUUGGGGGGGAUUUUUCUGAUACCAGGGAUCGAACUUGGGUCCUUGCACUUGUGAGGCAGGCGGCAGAACCACUGAGCUAAAUCCCUGGCCCUGAAUGUUUACUUUUUUAAAAAAUGUAUUGCAAUAAAAAACACAUUGCUGCUAAUCCCCCUCAAAAUACUGCCUCUUGCUUCAAACACACCUCAUCGUUCUUGCCACUGUCUCAAGCAGUUCUAGAAGUCCUCUUUAAUAAGUGUCUUUAGUUGCACUGUGGUGGUUGCCUCAGUGUCUUGAACUGAUUCAAAAUGUUUACCUUUCAUGGUCAUUUUGUUUUUGGAAAAUAACAAGAAGUAGCACGAAGUCAGAUCCAGUGAAUAAGAAGAAUAAGGACAUGCUGCAUGUUUUUACAAGCCUGUCUUUCCAUUGGAUGGCACUUGACAGCAGCAUUCACCAUAUUUGUGAUAAAACAUACUCACAGAAGAGAACUUCCAGAACUGCUUCAGAAAGUAACAAGAAUGAUGAGAAUUGUAUUCAAAGCAAAGGAGAGUAUUUUGAGGGGGACUGAUGGCAAUGUGACUUUUACUAUAAUAAUUUUUUAUUUAUACACACACCAUAUAGUCUGAUCUUAUAUAUCACAAUUCCUUUAUCCACUCAUCCAUCCAUCAAUGGACACUUAGGUUUUUUCCAUGUCUUGGCUGCUGUGAAUGGUGCUUCAAGGAACAUGGGCAGGCAGAUGUCUCUAUGAGUCGCUGAUGUCACUUCUGCUGGAUGUGUACUUAGCAGUGAGAUUGAUGGGUCAUGUGACAGCCUCAUUUUUAGUGUUUUUGAGAACAUCAUACUGUUUUCCAUAAUGGUUGGACCAACUUACAUUCCUACCAACAGUGUACAGGGGUCCCUUUUCUCCACAUCCUCACCAUUACUGAUUAUCUCUCAUCUCUUUCAAUAAGAGACAUCCCAACAGAUGUGAGAUGUCAUCUCAUUGUGGUGCAUUUUCCUGAUAAUUAGUUUUGUUUUGGUUUUUGGAACUGGGGAUCGAACUCAGGACUUUGCACUUGCAAGGCAGGCACAGCGCCACUGAGCUAAAUCCCCACUCAAUAAUUAGUGAUAUUGAGUACCUUUUCAUAUACCUGUUGGCAGUUUUUAUAUCUUCUUUGGGGAAAUGUCUAUUCAGGUGCUUUGCCUGGAUUUAGUUGGAUUAUUUUUAUUUGAUUGGGUUUGUUGUGGUUUUUUGUUUUUGUUUUUGAGUGAUGUGAAUUCAUUAUAUAUUUUGGAUAGUAACCCUUUAUUAGACAUAUGAAGCACAAUAUUUUCCCCAAUUCUCAGGCUAUACUUUGGUUAUUUCGUCUGCUGUGCAGAUUUGGUUUGACAAAGUAACACUUGUUUAUUUUGCUUAUUAUUGCCACAUGCCUCUGAUUUUUCACUAUACCCAAGAAUUUUUAGUCAGAAAAGAUGGUUUUCCUUAGAUUUCUUCCCAUGAAGCUCUUCCCUUUAUUCUAUGUCACACUUACUAUAGUUGGCUUAAAAAAUACUUUCUAUGAUGAUAAAAGUAAAACAAAGUCUUUCUAAAGUCCCACCCAAAAAACAGUUAACCAACAAGGUGAUUUCUUCACUCUUCACCCAUGGUCCAUUGAGAUGAGGGAGACAGACAUGGAGAUAGAGAAGAAAGGGAAGAGUGACGCUUCAUGCUUGGUUCAGGAGGGGAGGAAGUCAAGGUGAGCAGGGGUAAACACUGCCUCAGUGUCACCGCACCCAGUUUCAUGGGACAGCAUUGUCAAACCAACCAUCUAGAAAGAAACAAAGAUUGGCCCACUUUGUCAUUAAAUGAAUGUCCAUUUUAAUAUUGUUUCUUCCUAAAGUAGAGCUUAGCUCUUUGACAUUUUGUGCAAUGGCUGACAUAAUAUGGCCCUCUGGUUGACAUAUAUGCUGAAUUGUGUCCCCCUGCAUCCAUACAUUCAAACCCUAGUACUUCAGAAUGCAACUGUACUUGGAGAUAGUGGGUAUACUUCCUUCUUUCUUUUUUCUUUUUCUUUCUUUCUUUCUUUCUUUCUUUCUUUCUUUCUUUCUUUCUUUCUUUCUUUUCUUCCAGUGCUGAGAGUAGAGUAGAACCUAGGGCAGUGGUGCUGAACCUUUUAGAGCUUUCAAUGAUACAAACAGCCCACUGCAGCACCCAUGCCAUUGGCUUGCUACCGCUGAACGAGGGCCUCACACAGGCUAGGUGAGCAUUCUACUGCUGAGACACCCUCUUAUCCCCAAGAUGGGGUUUUACAGAGAUGAUUAAGACCAGGUCUUCAGCAUGGACACUAAGCCGGUCUGACUGGUGUCCUUAUAAGAAGAGGAGAUUCAGGAUACAGGCUCACUCGGAGGGUCAACCACAUGAGCACACCAGAGGAAGAUGGUGUCUGUAAGCCAAGGAGAGGAGCCUCGGGAGGAACCCAUCCUCCUCCACUUUAAUCUCAAACUUCUUGCUUUCAGAAUUGUAAGAAAACUAAGUUUUUAUUGGUUAAUCCCCCAGUAUCUUGUACUUUGUAUGGUGGCCCUAGCAAAUGAGUAUAGGAGAUAUGUUAAAGAUCAACUUUGCCUCAGCUAGUCUUAAUAUAGACAGUAUCACCAAUGCUUACAUUUACAUGGAGGCAACACGAUCCAGUGGUCAUAUAUUCGCUCUGGUCUGGCCUUGGUUCAGUUCACCAGCUUCAUCACUUACUAACAGUGAGGCCUUGGACAAACAUUUAACUUCUGCCUCAGCUUACAGAUCUGAAAAAAUGGAUCAGUACUUAUCUCACAAAAUUGUUAUGAGGAUUAAAUGAAUUAGUGUCCUAAAGUACUUAAAAUAUUGCUUGACCCAAUGAUUGAUGUAUAAAUAUUUAAAAUGGUUACAAAGUAUAAUGGAAUUUAGUUUAUAAAAUCUUUAUAAAUUCUAAUGGGAGGGAGUUGAAGCCAGGGCCUUUUACAUUGAGCUAUGUGCCUACUCCUUUGGUUUUGUUUUCAAUGUUUUACUUUGCAUCAGGGUGUCGCUGAGUUACCCAGACUGCCCUUGAGCUUGUGAUCCUCCUGCCCUAGCUUUCCAAGUAGCUGGGAUUACAGGUGUGUCCCACCACACCUGACUUAACAUAGUUUAUUAAAUUCUAUGUAUAAUAAAUAAAUAAUUAAAUAAAAAUAAAAAAUAAAUUAUAUGUAUAAAGAAUUCUUGUCAUAUUUGAGGAAAUAUGUCAUAACAUUCAGAGUUUUAACCUGUGCUGCUAGGGGCUGGAGUGUUCAGUUUAGGUUUGUGAGAGAAGAAAUGACUGAAAUGCACCUUGACAGUGAAGAUGGUCACCAUGCUUGCAUCCUGACAGUAGUGAUUGGGAACCAUCUCUGGUGAGCAUUUUAACAUUCUUCUUUCUCUCUUUUCCUUCCUGACCAUGAGGUGAGUGAUUCUGCUCUGUCUUAUGUCCCCACCAUAAUACGCCAUCUCAGGCCCAAAGCCAUGGGGCCAACUGAUCAUGGACCGAAGCCUACAAACCUGUGAGCCAAGAUAACCCUUUUUCUCUUUAUAAGCUGAUUAUCUCAGGUGUUUGUUACAGAAAAGGAAAGCUGACUAACACACUGUCUUCCAACCCCCACCAACAUCAGUUGCCCCAAGAGUGUCUAGAACGGGUGCUGAAAAUGUUCACAGGUGCUGUUUGCAUGACUUGCCACAGAGCUGGGGUAAACACUGCUUGAUUUUUACAGGUAAAACUUUAACACAGAUAAACUCACUCAUUGCAGUGGACCACAUGAUUGUUCUGUGUGUGAUGACUAAUAUAAACAAAGUCGGGCUAAUAUAAACAAAGUGUGGGCAUCCCAGGGUCCAGAAACCAGCGUGUAGAUCUUUCUGGAAGGCCAGCCCAGCUGUGAUCUGCUCAGGGACCAUGAACACCGGAGUAAACUAGAUGAGUAGUGACCAGAAGAACCACAUGGCUGAAUGGGAAGGUGUUUGGUGACUGAGGAAUGACAACUCAUUGACUUUUAAUACUCUACUCAGUUUCUGUCAGGAAAUCCUAAAGGUCUAUCAACUCUCAAGAUAAUCAUUUGGCCAACAGAUUCUUAUACAGAAAUGUUCAGUCUUGAAAAAUGAGUCUUAUAAGCCAGUUGGGAAAAGAGGAAAGUAUUAGCAGUAGGGAGAGAGCACCUGAGGUAGACUUCAGAGGCUGUUAUUCCUCUGGGAUCAGACAUUGCCUUUCAGACACUGGGAACAUUUUUAUGAGUGUAAAAAUUACUGAAGGAGACUUGAAAUAUUUUCAUUCAUGUCAGUUCAAUCCACAGAGCUAUUAAAAUUUUCAAAGCUUUAAGGUACUAAAAUGUAUAUAUCAUCUGAAUGUAAGUAUUGGAGUAACUGAUAACCUGCCUCUGCCAACAAUGGGUGGGGAGGUCGACAGUACUUUAUAUAGCUUUUAUUUAUCUAGAACUAAACCACUGCAUAACCUCAAAUGUCCCCAAAAUAGCUUGGAGACAUGAAAUUUUUUUUUUUAAAAGAGUGAACCUUGGGAAAUACUUUCCUGAAACACUUUUCUCGUAGAACUAGCCCUCAUACCCUGACUCAGAAUACAUUGUACACAUAUCCUUAACCAGUGAGCAUCCCACUUUCAUGCCAUGGCAGUUCAGAAAUAGAAAAUCAGCAGUCGGGAGAGGAUUUCUUACAGCCAUACUCACUAACGAGGAACAGCUGCCGUCAGCCCAGGGCCAGGGCAGAGAAGCAGGAGGGAAGCAGACAAACACAAGAAUCCCAGAGGCACAGUAACUUGGGGCCCCUUAGCAUACAGGCAGAUGUCCUGUCCCUGUCCAUCUGAAUUGCCUACGCCUAUGAUUUUUAUCACAUAUAGCCCUAGAUACGAUGAUUUCUCACUGUGAUGACUUCAAGACCAAAGACAAUAAAUUAAAUUAAGUUCCCCUUACUCUCAGAAAGCAGAAGGGGUAAACUGCAUUUUAGAACAUUUUCUGCCCCAAAUGAUUUUUUCCUUUUUUCUUUCCCUCUUUUCUUUCCCCUCUCCAUACUUACCCUCCUCUUUUCUCUCUUCUGUCUUUGCUUCCUUUUUCCUUCUUUUGGUGCUUUGAAGCACCUGCUUCAAUGUGUCUAGAACUCAGCCCUCCAGAAUGGCCAUCAAGAGAGCUGCAAUUUGCUGUUUUCAGCUCACUGUGUGACUGUAAGGCUUAUUGCACAACUGUGUGAUCAAUAUUUAUUCAUACUCUUUAAGAAUCAUCUCACGGUUUUUAAAUUUCUGAACAGGUGAACUUCUGUUAAAGAUACAGCCUACUGGAAAGGAGGAAAAACAGGGGGAAAACACAACUAACAGAAAUUUUUAGAAGAGGUUGUCAGAAUAAACAUUACAUCAUCAGUGUGGUGGGAGGGAAAAGAGGGUUCCCUUGAGGCAUAAACAAAAUUUCACAGUAUCAUUUAUUUUUACUUUUAGCCUAGCUCACAGACAGAUCUCUAAAACUGCUCAUUAUCACCAAAUGCCCUUUCAAAUGCUGAAGAACUGAAAGAAAGAGCUAAGUUACCUCUCUAUAUGACAUAUAAGAAAUGUCAGCACAUGCAGAUCUUCCCAAGGAAAGAAAAUUUAACUGUAGCAGCUCUGCAGUAAGUUUUAUCAGUUGCUUCCUUCCCUUUUCCCACUCACAGUGCACGUGCACACGUGCAUGCGCGCGCGCACACACACACACACACACACACACACACACAUGCAAACAUACCCCUUUUAGAUUGGGACCUUUGUCCUGCAGGGAAUGUAUAACUUCAAUAGCUGCUCUUCUCUGAAGGCUUCCUGUCAUCCGAACCCUGGAAAACCCUAUGCUUAAUUGUUUCUUGGAUCAUUGCAGAAAUUGAGGAUGGAGACAGAGCCGCCUUUUGUUACCUGUUGUGACUAGCAGUGGUCCAGUGGUCAUAGGCACACUGCCUAUGAGGAAACUGAGGCUCAAGAAAUUUGAGUCAAGUUCCCAAGAGAAACAUCUUACAAGCAGAGAUGGGAUUUAAAGAGAGGUUGCUUCUAACUACUGGGCUCUACUACCAGCCAAUGAGACUUGAACAGUUAUCACUGAAACUGACCCUCAUUUUCUAAGGGUCAGGGAUGGACUGAGAAAAAUGGUACUUGGAAUGUAGACACCAGGAUGCACUGAGGCCCCUACCUUGCACAAGAGAAUUGUGGGCACUCUCGUGUCCCUCAGUAAUGGGCACUUGACUUGUCUGAAUGGCUUACAUGCAGCCCAAAUGGCAGGCGCUGGGACUGCCGGCACAACUGCUGUCGGGAGAAGGUCUGUCCCUGUGCCACCCUGGCAACAAUGGACCAGCCUAUCUAGAAUCUUCUCUGCUGGCCAAGGCACUCUGCAACAGUAAGUAAAAUAUUCACAAUCAGAUCUGAACUUUUCCAGCAGGACAUUCCUUGUGACCAAAUCCUAUGUGACCUGGGCAGUGUGCUCUUUCAUGGGCUGCUUCCAGUCACACAAGUAACAAAAGGCAGCUCUGGCUCCAUCCUCAAUUUCUGCAAGGAUCCAAUUAUACAGAGAUUGGGCCAGGUGAUCCCUGAGCCUCUGCCUUCCAUUGCUCUGAGGCAUUUACAAAAUGCAGUGAAGGCAACUGAAAAAUAGACAUGUGGUGAGAAGGAGAAGGAGAGGAAGAAAGAGACAGAGAGAGAAAGACAGAGACAGAGACUGACUUUGGAAAUUAUCAGCCUGUCAACUUACCAUAUGGAGAAAUACUGCUGCCAUUGAUCAAAAUAUCAAGUUGUCAGCACUGAAACAGAAUGCUAAGGAAGUACUAAGUUGUAUGUACAUACAGUUGUAUGACAAACUGAGCCUCGUGGACUAACAGAACUUCCUUCUGAGGCAGUGGCAAUUAACAGUGGUAACCAUAAGGUCAAGACAGGACCCUUCAAAGACUUUAGGAAGACCUGGUUGAGCAUCUGGUCCUAGGUCUUGGACACUUGGGCAAAGGUUAGACUCCUUGGAAGAGAGCUUGGGAAAGUUGCCCAGCCUCUCAGGAUAUCCCAGAGUUAAGGACAUCACAAUCAUCCAGAACAGGGCUUCUUGCUUAUCAUUGUUGACUGUGGUCCCGACUCUAGGCACAAAUUCAUUGGCAGCACACAGUGAGUAGUUGAUUGAAUAAUAAGUUCUCUGUAAACAACGCUUUGUUGAUUGAGUCAUUAAUACUUGAAAAUAGUGUUUAAUUAUAUUUCACCUUACUAUACUAAAGCUAAAAUACCAUCUGCACAUUUCUGAUUUAUGGGGAAAUAGCUAUUAUUCUAAAGGAAUGUAUAUGAUACUAUAACCUUCAAAACCAUUGAUAUUUUAAUAUUAAAAGCAAUGUGGGGGAUGGGGAUUUAGCACAGUAGUGCCAUGCCUGCCUUGCAAGAGCAAGAUCCUGAGUUCGAUCCCUGGUACCCCCCCAAAAAAGCAAUGUAGGUUCAUUGCUUAAACUACAGAAUAUAAAUUAGAAAGAAUUGCCUCUAAUCUCAUAAUUCCUCUACUUAGGUACAAUGAGUUAACAUUUUAGUGUAGUUUCUUCCAAUUUUUUCAUAGAUAUAUACAUAUAUAUGCACAGAUUCAUAUAUAUUUAAAAUUAAAAUUACAUGGAAUAUAUGGCUGUCUUCCUUUUUCACAGAAUGUUACAGAUGGAACAUUUUCAUUGAUCAACAACUAACUCUGAAAAUAUGAUUUUUACAUAUCUACAUAGCGUUCUAUCAUAUGGAUGGACUAUGAUUUACUUAGCUGUUUCCUUAUGUUUGUAUAUUGGGUUUAUUUCCAACUUUUCCUGUAUUAUAAAGAAUGCUUCAUAGAAUAUGCUCAUUCAUAAAUCAUUCUGAACACUUUCGAUCAUUUUUCUUAGGACAUAUCUAGAAGCAGAUUACUAGACAAGGAAAUAUAAACAUUGUUAUGGUUCUUGUUACAUACUUCUUAAGAUGUUUAUAAAACAUUUAAGGAUUAAAGUCUAAAAGAAGUUACAGAAAUAACAGGUUUGGUUUGGUUUUAGCACUGUUGCCUCCUGUCAUUCAGGCAAGACUGGUCAACAUGUUGGCUACCUUCAGGGUUAUAAUCUUGCUCAUGUUUGUUACCUGCAUUUCAGGAGCCCUCACCCAGAGAAGGCUCUGUCAUGGACAGCCUCCAGUGCUUCGCCUACCCCUAAGGCCUAAGGUCCAUGUUUCUAGGAUGCCAUGACUGCACUUUGCAAAACCAGGACUUGCUCUGGGGGAUUUGUUUCGAGGCUGGAAUACACACUACAAUCAAAGGCCUAGUGUGUAAGACCAGCAAGGAAAAAUAGACAAGAAAGAUUGAGGCCACUGAAUUAAAAAUCCUAAAUUGUUUCCUGCCCUUUGUCUUUUUAUAUAGCUCUUUCUAGCAUCCUAGUAGAUUUCAGAAGUAUCAAGAGUCAUGCUAGCCCCAGAAAAGGCUGUUGAUUAAAAAAUAUAUAAUGAUCAUUUUGAAUAUGGUGUUCAAUUAUAUGCAAUGAUGACUUUACAUUAGGCUUACUUCAACUGUUUCUUUUAUGAAGUAAAAAGCUAAGCUUGUUGUUUAUCUUUAAAAAGUAGCUGUAAUUCUUAACUGUAUCACAGCAGUUUUUGCCUCUUUUCUUCUGAAAACUUACUUUGCAAUGAGCACAGAAUAUAUUCAUAUUAAUCAUAAAUAUCCCCCUCCCCUCCUUUCCAGGUAAAUAGAAUUUUAAUUAUUAGGGUAGAUAGAUUAUCUUAAGUACUUCUCAUUAUACUUUUUUAUGUCCUAUUUCCCUAACUUGCUUUACUGUUUUCUUUGUAUUUUAUAUUAUGCCAAAUAUAUUCUGAAAAAUUUAUGCAAAAUAAUUACCAGUAGAGACACCAAAUAUAUUCCCAUGUUUCAAGAACUUCGAUAUAAACAAGUCUCUGCUGACAGAAUCAUAGGGUCAGAGAAAAGAAAAAAAUGGAUUUAGCUGGCUGGGACCUUGGGAUAGAAAACCCAAUUCCUUUGUUUUGAACAAAAAAAAAAAAAAAAAAAGACAGCAGCUCAAAGACGUGAAAUGGCUUUUUGGAGUCUUGUUUUUGUUAUUGAUCCAAGAAUACAGAAUAGAAAAAAUAAUAGACAUAACAUCUUAAUUCUUUACAGCCCUUUACAGUUUAUGAAACACUUUCAUGUCCCGUGUUAAAAGGUACUGCAAUUCUGAGCUUCAGCAAACAAAACUCUCACGUGCUCUCUCCAUGAGACCCACGUGGCUGAUUUCACAUUUGUUGCCAAUGGAGUCUCCAAAGACAUUUAAGGGGAACUCUCAUAGGAAACAAAAGGCUACCACAUCAUGUGGGUCAGUUCAAAAUGGAGAGUAACAUAUCUUGCCCUAAAAGUAGGAAACUAGAGCUACGUCUAACUAGUAUCAGAGGGAUUUUUUUCUGAUUUUUAAACAACUUGUCACUGGUCACAUCUGCUACUUGGGGCUCCAAGGAUCAAAUUAAAUCUCAAAGAAACUCAAGGCUGUGUCUUUCAAUGUCCCCGUGUGGAUUUCUCCACUGAAAAGCACUGGAGUAGGUGUCUUUGCCAGCUGUGUCUUCAUGGAAGAUGACGGCAAAUGCCUGUGUGACAUCAUACAAUAAACUACAAUACUCAUCUGAAAGCUUUCACAGUCAUUCAUUCAGAUUUCCCAAAUUUACAGAGCACAGAGGAGGGAGGCAGAGGAAAACAAGGUGUGGCCACUGUCUCCAACUCAGUGGGCAGGUGCUCAUCCCAGCCACAUCUGUGGGAGUGUCCUGAAUCCUUGGAGAGCUGGCCUUUUUUUUUUUUUUUCUGGCACCAGGAAUUGAACUCAGGGCCUCAUGCUUGCCUGGCAGGCACUGUGCUGCUGAGCUACAUCCUCAGCCCUAACUUCUAUAGAUGAUGUCAGUCUGUUAUGACUGUUGGGGUCGGCUCUUUUGUGACCUCCUCCUCUGGGUACUGGGUUAUAGAGUCAUGCAUUUACUCCUCAGUAGGGUGUAUUUGUUUCCUGUGCUUGCCACAACAAAUUACCACAAACUGGGUGGUUUUAAAGCAACAGAAAUUUCUUCUCAGUUCUUGAGGCCAGAAGUCUGAACAAGGCAUUAGCAAGGCUGUAUUUAUUCCGAAGGCCCCGGGGGGAAAAUCCAACCUUCACCUUUCUUUUCACUCCUACUGUUGCUGGCCAUCCCUGACAGUUUUGGGCUUGUAGAUGCAUCCCUCCAAUCCAUCUCCAUUGUCACAUGGUGCCCUCCUUGUGUCUCUCUCUCUCAAGGAUACCAGCCCCAUUGAUUGGGCCCACCCUAGCUCAGUGCUGUCUCAUCUUUGCUUGAUUACAUCUAUAAGACCCUAUUUCCAAAUAAAGUCACAUUUGCAGCUACCAUGGGUGAGAUCUUACACUGACCUUUAUGGGCGGCACAGAGAUUUGAUCCAUCCAGGGCCCUUUCUCAGGACAGACAACAAAGUCUCCCUUGGAGUGGCAGGCUUCAGACCCACAUGGCUGUGUUCGAGGGGAAAGUGGAAAGAGCAAGCCACAGAGGGUUAAAAUAAUGUGGCAUGAGUUUCCAGGUGUAAGAAGACAGAAGAGCCUAAAGUGGACCUUCAAGGAAGUGACAUUUCCUGUGUCCCUCUCUUUCAUCUUUAUGUGUCUAUCUUUCAUGCUAAUGUCUCUCUCUCCUUGUUCCAGUGAAGCGGCAAAGAGAGUAAAAGUGCUGAGCUUCUGCCAUAAAUCCAGUGCUGCACAGCGCCCCAUCCAUUUGGACCACUCACUGUCCAUCCUCUGUGGCAGCGGUCAUAGCCACUGUGCUGAUAGACUCUGUUUGCUACUCUUGAUUGAGUCUGAGUGACCUCCUGAUAAAGCUUUCCUUUAGGCCGCAAAGUGCGCAUCUCCUUUCCAUUUCAAUCAUCUGCAUCAUAAGUGUUUUCCACUUAAUGAGCACACACAGCCAUGAACAAUCCAGUGUGACUUGUAGCACUGUUAUCACGAGCAUCAGUUGGAAGGAUGGCCAAAAAAUCUCACCUGGAAAAGCACAGGACAGUGAGCAUCUGUGCUCCAUGCACCCAACUGCACCGAGACCCUUCUGCACUAAUGAGCAGGGCAGGCAGCUUGCUCCAGCACAGCUCAGUCACCCUGCAUUCCCCAGGCAAGGUGCUGCUCCCAUCAGGAGCUAAAGUCUUCCUGGAAAAGGAGAGCUGCUUUUCUCUCCCUGUUGGCCACCGCCCACUGGAGAGGUAGAAAUUGUUAAAGAUAUGUUUAUCAUAGUCCCUGCCCCAGUAACAAAUCACCUAAUGUGAAAUGCAGGGACAAAACAAGUAUGUAAAGAACUUUCAGGAAACUAAACAAGUAUGAUAAAAAUCUUUGGAUUAUAUACAGGCAAAAGGAAACUGCAUUUUCUGACAAAUGAAUACAAGUUGUAAGUGAGCCUUUGGGGGAGGAAUAACCAUCUUUCCUCCAAAUUUCCAGAAACUUGGUGAAGAAAUUUUUUUAAUCCUUACACCCUAAUUAGUUUAGUAACAAAUGAUGAGCAUAGUCAAGACUGUUGAAAGUAAGAGAAACAGAACUCAAAUAAAGGGCAAUAUAUUUAUUCAUUAUCUAAAAAUAUUCAGAACAGUUCCAGAUAUUCAAACAAUGUCUUCAGACUUAUUCUACAGGCUUCUGUUUUGCCUUCCUCUCCCAAUUUCAUUCUCAAGAAGGUAAUCCUUUUUUUAUUUUUUUUAUUUUUUUUGACAAGAUGUCCAACAGAAGUUCUGGGCUAAUUUUCUGGAGCCAAGAAGAGAAUUUCUCUUUUCCAGUACAUAUAGCCUAGUAGACGCCAACCGUAGGCUCACAGCCUCGCCUCUGACAGUCUCCUCAGUAACAUCUGCUCACUCCUGAAGCAUCAGCCUACUGAACCCUCUUGUUGGCCACUUAUGAACCUUGUGAUCUGUCCUGGGCUGCUGUAAGAGUCAACUCCACCAGAACCCAGGGACUGCGGGGCAGGGGGGGGGGGCCUCCCUAAAGAGAACUAGGGUCCUGCUCUCAUGGGAAGAAAUGAGUGUUGGGCAGACAAAAGCAACAAAUACCAUGACAUGGAACAAAAAUAAAUGUACAUUGCUACAGGAUUCUCAUUAAGAACUUUAAAAUCAUUCCCAGCUUUAUAAAGUAAUUUUUAAAAGGUCAACUACCUGGGUCUUUCAUAGAAUUUAUGAUUGCUUUGACCUAGUAUGCAGGUCAACAAAAAAUUCUUUGUACCUCUUACCAAUAAUGGUUGGCCAGGAACAUUUCCUGUUAAUUCCUACUUUAGAAUAUUGCAUAAGUCCUUAUUUCAGAAAUAAACAAAUAUAGAUUAAAAACAAACCAAAAAACUCAAAAAGUGUUCUGGUGAAAGUUUUCUAUAUUCACAUCACAUUUUUUUUAGCAAGAAAGACUAUCUGGCUAAAUAAUAAUUUAGAUUUUAAAAAAGAAAAAAUAGCAAUAGCUAUUUAUAAUAAAUACAAAGAGAUAAUAAGAAAAGAUAAAAUUUAAAAAAGUAGCCAUUCACUUGUUGCAAAUGCAAAGAAGACAUAUAAAAAGAAGUCUUUCAUGGGGUAGAUUUUGCCAUUUUCUAG
This 20810-nucleotide long non-coding RNA is filed under the name Heterocephalus glaber (naked mole-rat). Its description in RNAcentral is "lncRNA (ENSHGLG00000038981.1)". Lineage: Eukaryota; Metazoa; Chordata; Mammalia; Rodentia; Bathyergidae. The record is from RNAcentral.